Molecule: transfer RNA, 77 nt
Filed under: Magallana gigas (Pacific oyster)
Lineage: Eukaryota; Metazoa; Mollusca; Bivalvia; Ostreida; Ostreidae
Description: Crassostrea gigas (Pacific oyster) tRNA
Rfam family: tRNA
About the family: Transfer RNA (tRNA) molecules are approximately 80 nucleotides in length. Their secondary structure includes four short double-helical elements and three loops (D, anti-codon, and T loops).
Source: Rfam by way of RNAcentral
CGCCAGAUAGCUCAGUUGGUAGAGCACAUGACUAGCUGAAUAUUCAGGGGGCCAUGGUUCAAAUCCUGGUCUGGUCU